ACUCAUUUUAGAAUUAGAAAUGUCAUAAAAUCCGUGUACCUAAUUCUUACAACAGUGCCAUGUGUCUUAGAGAAAGUGGUAAGAGGACCCAUUGAGUUAAAUGAUCAAACAAUGAUUCAGUGAAGUCACACUUUGUUGCAUGUUAAGUAACACCUAAUCAAAUGCUGUGUUCAUCACUUCUUCACUGUAUUACUUAGGGUACUUUGGUCCAAGUUGGAGAAGCAAAGUUUUUAUAAUUGAUCUUGCUUUCUCUCCCUUGAUGCAAUAACAUGAGUUGGCUGAAGUCUUUUCCAGGGAAAAGCAAGACUUUGUAUGCUGUUUUAAAGGAAAAGGAACUACUUCACAGAUGUCUGAUACCAUCAACAGUUUCUCCUUGGUAACAGAAACAAUCCAUUUGCCUCUAAAUUUUGGCUAAGAGCCCAGGUAAAGAGUUUUUUCACUGCUGGAGAGGGGAAAAAAAAAUCUUGAGACAAAAAAGAAAGAAACAAGUAUUCACACAGCUGAUGAUAUUUAAUCUAAAUGCAACUGGAAACAAAGGACAAAACCUUUGGUUCAUAACACACAAACUGAUCCAAAUCUCUUGAAGUUGAAGGCAGUAGACUAUGCAGAGAUAUAAACGGUAUUUUCUUACAGUUUAUUUGGAAUAACAUUUUGUAAGCAGGAAAAGCAGUGUAAAAGGAAACAGGGCAGUCAGGCAGAACAAGGACCCUAGAAUUUUCAAAUAGUAAUAAAAAUGUCUAGAACUGUGAUUUACAGAAAUAAAAGCCUGUCUUUUCAAAACAAGAUUUUUUUCAUCAGCAAUAGAUAUUUGAACAAUUUAAUAAAUGUGGAAUCCAUGUGGCAGAUAUGUGCCUUCUCAUGUUGGCUACAUCAGGGGUCAGUUUGUAUGUUUAUCAAGUUGUUAUCUAUCUGGCAAACUGGAUCUUUAACUAUUGACUAUAGAAAGCUACACAAAAUAAGAUUAAACUGGCUUAUUAGCUAGCUCCAGGUUAACAAAAGCAUGGCAGAGAUAAUAGCUUCCUUAGUCAUUGUUGCUACAACUGGGUAGUUAAACUAGGAAGUGGUGAUAUUGCAGCUUCUGUACAAACACACCAAAAGAAGCAUGAAAAUGCUCACUGUGACUACUAAAUAAUUACAGUGUGUCUCUGCUUUUACUGCAUGUCAGCUGCUUGCAUGUUUUUACACAGCUGUUUGUCAGCUUUCACUCUUAAGUAUAUACACAUAUAAGUG
Long non-coding RNA from Oxyura jamaicensis (ruddy duck), 1230 nucleotides. RefSeq lists it as uncharacterized. NCBI's taxonomy places the organism in Eukaryota, Metazoa, Chordata, Aves, Anseriformes, Anatidae. The transcript has 3 exons. The record is from RefSeq and is a predicted model, not a curated record.